UAAAUGGCAAUGACUGGGACUGUAGACCUAUAGACACUUAUUAAAGCGAUUCGAGGAUGGUGUAAGCUCGGAAUAAGAAUAGGUUUAGGAUCACCCACGAGCUUCAUGCUGAACACAAUUAGUUACUAAGCAUGACGUUAUUAAUGCGUUAAAUGAUUAUGAGAUAUGUAUUUUUUUUAAUGCAUGUAAAAAAAGGUGGUACCACGGUUCUCAUCGUCCUUUAU
RNAcentral lists this non-coding RNA (224 nucleotides) under Haloplasma contractile. RNAcentral describes it as "T-box sequence". It matches the Rfam family "T-box leader". Rfam says of the family: Uncharged tRNA acts as the effector for transcription antitermination of genes in the T-box leader family. T-boxes are found upstream of many aminoacyl-tRNA synthetase genes and some amino acid biosynthetic genes usually in Gram-positive bacteria. Lineage: Bacteria; Bacillati; Mycoplasmatota; Mollicutes; Haloplasmatales; Haloplasmataceae. The record is from RNAcentral.